CAGGAAGACUCCGCCCGGACCCCUAUGGGAGCUGGGCCUCAUCCCCGACUCCGGCUGCAGGAAGACUCCGUUCGGACUCUCACGGGAGUCGGACGUCGUCCCCAACUUCGGUUUAAGGAAGACUUCGUCCAGACUCUUAUGGGAGCUGGACUCCGGACUCCUCUCAAACGGAUAGCUAACCACCCCUCUCCGCCAGACACUCCAGUCGAACUUCAGCCGACAGGCCUGCACUCCCUGAC
Molecule: long non-coding RNA, 239 nt
Filed under: Elaeis guineensis (African oil palm)
Lineage: Eukaryota; Viridiplantae; Streptophyta; Magnoliopsida; Arecales; Arecaceae
Description: long non-coding RNA (EGUI_LNC064841)
Source: RNAcentral